Molecule: non-coding RNA, 1094 nt
Organism: Podarcis lilfordi (Lilford's wall lizard)
Lineage: Eukaryota; Metazoa; Chordata; Lepidosauria; Squamata; Lacertidae
Source: the annotation of a GenBank genome assembly
CAGUCUGGCUUGUCCAGACUGGAUUGUUCCUGGUAAAUUCCCCUUUAUUCCCUCGUAAAACAAUAAAGACACAACAGGCUUCUUUAAAAGUAAUGAUAAGAAGUUUACUUACAUUCAGUUCCCAGUAUGAUCCUGAAGGCAGGCUUUAGCUUGUAGUUACAGAAGAGAGUGUGAGUUAAUCCCAUAUGAGGAUUAAGCCCAUGUGCUGCUGGCUGAGAGCCAGCAGACAGCAAAAUACAUCAAGAUCAGAAGAGAGCAGCAAAAGAGAGGAAGAUAGCUGUGUGACUGGCCCCUUUACAGGGUCUCACAGGGUCACACCCAUCACCCUGGUCACACGCAGGGGGAGAAUGCUCCAGACGGGUCUGACAGGAAGUCCUGCUGCCUGGAGUAACACCCCUCUGUGUGUCCACUCUGGGCAAACAGGAAAUGUUGUACUUGACUGCUACAGUGAUGUCAUAUCCCACAGAUUACACACGGGGGUUUGAAGGUUUUUAUUCCUAGCCCUAGCUGGAUAUUUUUCAAAUAAGCAAUUAUUGUACCAUAUAAAGUUAUCCACCUUCCAGCCAUCUUUUGAUAUUUAAUUAAAAAAAACCCUCUUUUUAUUUUCAUAUAUCAGGUGGCAUGGGGAAAAACAACCAAGCCAGUACACAUAAAUCAAAGGGGAGGGAGUACAUUUUCCAGACUUUCUAGGUAGCCUGCAAAAUAAAUUUUCACAAAUAGAUGCUUACAACUAAGGAUGGAUGGAUCGGUCUAUUUAUGGUCUGUGCAAAUUUCACAUGUGUUCAUGCAUAUGUUCAAUUCCAUUUCUGCAAUAAUCUGUCAUGAUGAUAAUUAAAAUCCAAGCCAAAAAAACGCAUAUUUAAAUGCACAUUUAAAUAAACAUGUAUAAUAAUAUUUACAUGUGCAUUUUAUCACAAAAUGCUGUAGUUUUGGAUUUAAUUGCAGUUACGCAUUUCUAAACAUAUUUUAUCCUAAAAUAUACAUUUCAGUGUAUUUUUAGUCAGUAUUUGUAUUGCAAAAUUCACAGACGUGUGAAGUUUGAAGAAUAGUUAUGCUCUUAAGAGUUUAUUAAAAUCAUUCAACUCAUGGCAAGU